UACGGGGGGGGCAAGCGUUGUUCGGAAUUACUGGGCGUAAAGGGUUCGUAGGUGGCCAACUAAGUCAGACGUGAAAUCCCUCAGCUUAACUGGGGAACUGCGUCUGAUACUGGUUGGCUUGAGUGCAGGAGAGGAAUGCGGAAUUCCAGGUGUAGCGGUGAAAUGCGUAGAUAUCUGGAGGAACACCGGUGGCGAAGGCAGCCACCUGGCAUCAUACUGACGCUGAGGCGCGAGAGCGUGGGGAGCGAACAGG
RNAcentral lists this ribosomal RNA (253 nucleotides) under uncultured bacterium. RNAcentral's name for it is "partial 16S ribosomal RNA". It matches the Rfam family "Bacterial small subunit ribosomal RNA", at positions 524 to 776 of the family's 1533-position model. The record is from RNAcentral.